Molecule: microRNA precursor, 67 nt
Filed under: Bombyx mori (domestic silkworm)
Lineage: Eukaryota; Metazoa; Arthropoda; Insecta; Lepidoptera; Bombycidae
Description: mir-2774 microRNA precursor family
Rfam family: mir-2774 microRNA precursor family
Source: Rfam by way of RNAcentral
ACAACAUUCGGACCGUCGGUCUACCGAGCAAUAUCAACCGCUCGGUGGAAGAUCUUCCCUUUGUCGU